Molecule: long non-coding RNA, 705 nt
Filed under: Equus caballus (horse)
Lineage: Eukaryota; Metazoa; Chordata; Mammalia; Perissodactyla; Equidae
Description: lncRNA (ENSECAG00000044696.1)
Source: RNAcentral
ACCAAAUCUGGGUUUCCUCACAUAGGAUUUUCUCAAAGCGAAGAUUGAUUGAAAUGGAUUUUAAAUUCUGUGUUGUCUUAGGUGACCUCUCCUGGGUUAUGCAGUUGGCCCGGGUGAGACCUGGUCACUGGUUUGUUUGGAAAGUUUCCUGGUGAUUCUAACGUGCAUCCCAGGCUGAAAAGCAGCCCUGGUGUCUGAUUUUGUUAUUCCUGCUCUCCCAGAGCUGCCCAGGCACCUGUCUCCGCAAUCUCGUCUUCAGGCUCAUCUCAGAACCACUUCAAAAUGGCUCUGAUUCCAGGUGCUGAGAAAGCCAGGCCAAGGAUAAAAUGGGGCAAAGGUCAGUUUCUGCCCUCUUCAGUCACCCACCUUCUCUGGAGCAAGUGGGACGCCUGCCCCAGGGAGGUCCCGGAGGAGCCGGCUGAGGAACUUUGAAAGGAGGUGAUUACGUUGCAGAAAUUGAGAGAAUCUUCCACCCUCCCCAGCGCUGGGCUCAACCCACCUCUCCUCAGAAGGUGCAGAGGCUCCAGUGCCUGCCAGGGAGCACCGGAUUCUGUGCGAAAAGCGGGCUUUGUGAUCAGAGAGCCAGGAUUUAAUUACCACCCCACUUACUUGCUGUGUGACCUUGGGUGAAUUUCUUAACCUCUCUGAGUUUAUCAAUCAAAUUACUGCACAGUAAUAUCAAAUACGUAUGUGGUACAGAGGGGG